UAAUAAUGCUCUUUGGUCGCCGGCGGCCGCCGCCUUAAUAAUGCUCUUUGGUCGCCGGCGGCCGCCGUCUUCAUAAUGCUCUCUCGUCGCCGUCACCGUCGCCGUCGCCGCCGUCUUCAUAAUGCUCUGUAGUCGCCGUCGUCGCCGUCUUCAUUAUGCUCUCUAGUCGUCGCCGCCGCCGCCGCCGCCGCCGCCGCCAUCUUCAGCAGAGUAAGACAAAGCUUACUUUAGCCACAAAUUCACCGUUGAGAAAACACAGUAUAUGAUUGCCCAUCAUAACGUUUAGGGUUAGGGUGUCAUGAAAAAACCCCAUCAAACAUCAACACAAUAUAUCUAUUCUAUAUAUAUCUACAACAGACUUGGAUAGUCGUGUGCAAGAAUAACCUAUUUACGUGGCUUAAAACAAGUAAUUUAACAGAUAUUUCUUUCAUAGACAGUCCCGCAAAGCACGCUGGGAUGUGCGCCUAUCGACUCUACAUUAUGAAGAGGACAAGGAACUGCUGAUUAUGAUACGGGCGAGGGAGGAUGUCAAUUAAGGGCCUCAAUUCUUUCAUUUCUUCUCCUUAAAAAUUAUUUUUAUGUCAAUCUUGGCUAUGUUAUUUGUAUCAUGUGUCAUUUGUGUGCUCUCAACAUACACUUGUCAGUCCCAAAUACAGUCAACUUCAUCUAUGUAUGUCCGUCACAGGCCACCGUACUGAUCCGCCAGUCAGCGAUGACGUUACGUGAAAUACAACUAAUCAAAUAAAAACUCUUUUUUCACAGCACCCUACGAACGGUGCCCAAGGUGCUUCAGGAAAGUAUUAGAAAGUAUUUAAGUACUUUGAAAGUAUUAUUUCUCUUGUUAUAGUGUGUAAAAUCAUUGUGAAACACGACGUCACAUCCGCGCUGAAACUUCCUGUUUGCACUUCCUGGUUUCGUCCGGAACAUGGCGCCGACCAUCCCAAUCACGCUGUGUCAAUCUGUUUGCAGCCAAGCUCAAGUAUUCUACAGGGAAUGCCGUAAGCAUGUGUUUGGCCAGCUAUUGUCGGCCGGGUUGAGCGUGAACCAGGAAGUGCGGGGAUCUCGUGUGUUCUCUCGUUGCUGGGUAGUCGAAAAAGAAAGUUGCCGGGAAGCAGCAGGCAACCGUCUUUCUUUCCCUGACGAAAUCAGGCCGCCCCUUACCACGCAUCGUUUUCAUUGGCGCCAACCUCAUUCGGCAUCGAGUCGGCGUUCCAACACCCUGACGGAGAACACCGGAGUUGCCAUCUAACUCUGACGCCACACAAGCAAUGCUACAAGUCCAGUCCAGGAAGAAGCAGCCUGGCCGUCUGUCUGACAUCAUCCGUGUCCACCAGCAGACUCUUGCGAUGUUCAGCGUGAACUAUGGCCACUCUGAUCCACUCCAUCAGAGGCGGCAGCAACAGGAAUGGCCUGCGGAUGGAAAAAAGGAGGAAGAAUUCCGGCUUACUCUGCAACUUGGACCAGUUGUAUCAUGUCUCCGUGUCAGACGUGAUGCUCGGGGAGGAUUUGCUGAUAUGUUGCAUGAUUCAGUCACAUUUAAAGCAAACUCAUGUAAACUGUCAUCAAAUAUGACGUGUGUGUGUCUGGCAGCUCUUCCCCUGAACCGUGACUCACUUAUUACUGCUUGUAUUCUCUCCCAUACACACACUCACACUCACACUCACGUCAGUCAGUUAACCGUAAAUGUAGACUCCUUCCUGUACGGUGCUGUAGUUCUAUGUACAUAAAAGGUGAACGUUAGUGUGGAAGGACAAGAGAAAACGGCAACUAAAAAAAGAACUAAAACGCUAACAACAGAAGUGACCGACAAAUUGAAUGAAACGAAAAUGUUGGUAGAAGAAAGCGGCUUUCAUCUCCGAGAAGUCCAAGAAUAAACAUCAGUGGGAACGUGCGUUACGGAAUGUGCCCAUGCUGACUGUGAUUGAAAAAUCAGCUCCGUGCUCAUUAAUAACUGCCCACAAACGUAAUACAAAUCUGCAGCUUUGAAUGUAAUAAUCCCGCAAAUUUAAUAAAUUUCCCACAAACAUAAUAAAAUUUACUCACUGCAAACGUAUUACUGAAUUUACUGAAAUUAUUACAUUUUGUUUGUGCGUUUUAGUUACAGUAUAUUAAUGUAUGUGUGAUUUUGUGUGUGUAUGCGGAAGAAAUAAUCAAAAGAAAUAAUAAAAUAUAAUAAUAAUAAUAAUAAUAAUAAUAGUAAUAAUAAUUUUAUUACAUAUUAACAUUGCAAUUAUCACAAUAAUUUAAAUUUAAUUUAAAAUAAAUUAUAAUUUCAUAAUUAAAGAAUCCUUUAAUGUAUUCAAAUUAUACUAUUUGAAUAAUAUUUCUUCCACAAAAAAAGAAAAAAAAAAGAAUUAUCUUGUUAAAAUCCUCAAAAUUACAUCUACACAUUUGCCCUCAUUCAAAGAAGAAAGAACAAACAACAACAACAAACCACAUUAUUUUGUCUCAGAUUACAUUUGUGGGAAGUUAUUACAUUUACAGAUUUUCACUUUCCCACAUAUGUAAUAAUUUCCUGAAUACUGAAUUUCCUGCAAAUAACUAUUAAAUUUAAUAACUAUUAAAUUUGCAGGAAAUUCAGUAUUCAGUAUGUUUGCAGUAGGCAAAUUUUAUUACGUUUGUGGGAAAUGUAUUACAUUUGUGGGAUUAUUACAUUCAAAUCUGCAGAUUUCGCUAUUUAGCUAUUAUUAUUAUUAUUAUUAUUAUUAUUAUUAUUAUUUAGCUAUUAUUAUUAUUUAGCUGCAUUUUUUCCCAGCUAAUAGAAUGUGAACAUUUGAGCAGGAUCUUAAGACAUAAUUUUAUUUAUUUGUUUUUUAUGUUGGUUUUUUUUUUGGUAAAUUUAAAGCUGGAUGUUAAAGCUUUAUUUAUCCAAAUGCUACACUUUAAGUUUUUUUUACAGAGGAGAGUUUGUGAUACAGCAUAACAUACUGUUCUAAUGGAAUAAAAAUGUGUUUAGUAAGUGCAUAUUGCUGGUGUAAUUCAGUUUUUUCCAGGAAAUAAUCUUUAACUACAAGAAAAAAAAAUAUCGCCUUGUUAGCAGUAUCGUGAUAUAUUGUAUCGUGAUACGUAUUGUAUCGCCAGAUUCUUACCAAUAAACACCCCUAUAUCCAACAUAUCUAACA
Molecule: non-coding RNA, 3122 nt
Organism: Doryrhamphus excisus (bluestripe pipefish)
Lineage: Eukaryota; Metazoa; Chordata; Actinopteri; Syngnathiformes; Syngnathidae
Source: RefSeq, a predicted model, not a curated record